RNAcentral lists this ribosomal RNA (1492 nucleotides) under Lactiplantibacillus pentosus. RNAcentral's name for it is "bacterial SSU rRNA". It matches the Rfam family "Bacterial small subunit ribosomal RNA". The record is from RNAcentral. Lineage: Bacteria; Bacillati; Bacillota; Bacilli; Lactobacillales; Lactobacillaceae.
GACGAACGCUGGCGGCGUGCCUAAUACAUGCAAGUCGAACGAACUCUGGUAUUGAUUGGUGCUUGCAUCAUGAUUUACAUUUGAGUGAGUGGCGAACUGGUGAGUAACACGUGGGAAACCUGCCCAGAAGCGGGGGAUAACACCUGGAAACAGAUGCUAAUACCGCAUAACAACUUGGACCGCAUGGUCCGAGUUUGAAAGAUGGCUUCGGCUAUCACUUUUGGAUGGUCCCGCGGCGUAUUAGCUAGAUGGUGGGGUAACGGCUCACCAUGGCAAUGAUACGUAGCCGACCUGAGAGGGUAAUCGGCCACAUUGGGACUGAGACACGGCCCAAACUCCUACGGGAGGCAGCAGUAGGGAAUCUUCCACAAUGGACGAAAGUCUGAUGGAGCAACGCCGCGUGAGUGAAGAAGGGUUUCGGCUCGUAAAACUCUGUUGUUAAAGAAGAACAUAUCUGAGAGUAACUGUUCAGGUAUUGACGGUAUUUAACCAGAAAGCCACGGCUAACUACGUGCCAGCAGCCGCGGUAAUACGUAGGUGGCAAGCGUUGUCCGGAUUUAUUGGGCGUAAAGCGAGCGCAGGCGGUUUUUUAAGUCUGAUGUGAAAGCCUUCGGCUCAACCGAAGAAGUGCAUCGGAAACUGGGAAACUUGAGUGCAGAAGAGGACAGUGGAACUCCAUGUGUAGCGGUGAAAUGCGUAGAUAUAUGGAAGAACACCAGUGGCGAAGGCGGCUGUCUGGUCUGUAACUGACGCUGAGGCUCGAAAGUAUGGGUAGCAAACAGGAUUAGAUACCCUGGUAGUCCAUACCGUAAACGAUGAAUGCUAAGUGUUGGAGGGUUUCCGCCCUUCAGUGCUGCAGCUAACGCAUUAAGCAUUCCGCCUGGGGAGUACGGCCGCAAGGCUGAAACUCAAAGGAAUUGACGGGGGCCCGCACAAGCGGUGGAGCAUGUGGUUUAAUUCGAAGCUACGCGAAGAACCUUACCAGGUCUUGACAUACUAUGCAAAUCUAAGAGAUUAGACGUUCCCUUCGGGGACAUGGAUACAGGUGGUGCAUGGUUGUCGUCAGCUCGUGUCGUGAGAUGUUGGGUUAAGUCCCGCAACGAGCGCAACCCUUAUUAUCAGUUGCCAGCAUUAAGUUGGGCACUCUGGUGAGACUGCCGGUGACAAACCGGAGGAAGGUGGGGAUGACGUCAAAUCAUCAUGCCCCUUAUGACCUGGGCUACACACGUGCUACAAUGGAUGGUACAACGAGUUGCGAACUCGCGAGAGUAAGCUAAUCUCUUAAAGCCAUUCUCAGUUCGGAUUGUAGGCUGCAACUCGCCUACAUGAAGUCGGAAUCGCUAGUAAUCGCGGAUCAGCACGCCGCGGUGAAUACGUUCCCGGGCCUUGUACACACCGCCCGUCACACCAUGAGAGUUUGUAACACCCAAAGUCGGUGGGGUAACCUUUUAGGAACCAGCCGCCUAAGGUGGGACAGAUGAUUAGGGUGAAG